Molecule: unclassified non-coding RNA, 378 nt
Filed under: uncultured bacterium
Lineage: Bacteria
Description: contains 16S-23S intergenic spacer region
Source: RNAcentral
UCCCAGUUAACCCGGGCAGUCUGACUAGAGUACCCACCUUUACGUGUUGGCAACUAAUCAUAAGGGUUGCGCUCGUUGCGGGACUUAACCCAACACCUCACAGCACGAGCUGACGACAGCCAUGCAGCACCUGUGCAGCGACCCUUGCGGGAGAUGCCAUCUCUGGCACUGUCCGCUGCAUUUCAAACCUGGGUAAGGUUCUUCGCGUUGCAUCGAAUUAAACCACAUGCUCCACUGCUUGUGCGAGCCCCCGUCAAUUCUUUUGAGUUUCACCCUUGCGAGCGUACUCCCCAGGCGGUGCACUUAACGCGUUAGCUACGACACAAUGGGGAUUGAUUCCCACUACGUCUAGUGCACAUCGUUUAAGGCAAGGACUAC